AUAAUCCAUAUAUCUGUGAUUCCGCGAAAACAAAGUAACCAACAGGAAAUCUAUCAUCGUGCCUCUUCGUUACUGGGGUCGCUGCCAAUCAGCACUGAAAAAGCUUUUUCAGAGAAAACUGCAAAGAAACUUCGAUUUCCGAAACUCAAUCUUCAAAAACGGUAAGUUUCGUUCCAGAAACUUCCAUUCUGAUACUUUUCAUCGAACAAUAAACCCUAACCCUAAUGAAGCGACCGGUCGACGACCCUAGCCUCAACGGCGUCGCAAAGAAGCCGGUGUUCCUCACCAAAGCCCAGCGCGAGCAAUUGGCCCUCCAGCGCCGCCAGGAAGAGACCGAGGAGCAGAAACGCCGCCAGCAGCUUUUGCUAUCCCAGGCUAGAUCUUCUUCUUCCUCCGCCGCCGCCGCCUUUGUUUCCGAUUCUCCGGCGAGCAACAAUGACUCUCACAAGCCCUCCGAUUCCGACCGCCGCGACCGCGACAGGGACCGAGAGAGGGAGAGAGAUAGAGAUAGGGAUAGGGAUCGGGACAGGGACAGGGACAGGGACAGGGACAGGGACAGGGAGAGAGAUAGGGAUCGGUUGGGCCGCGAUCGGGACCGUGAUUCGGAGAGGAGGAAUCGCGAGAAGGAGCGCGAAGAGGAGGUCAAGGGUCGGGACAGGGCGCGCCUGGAGAAAUUGGCCGAGCGAGAGCGCGACAAAGAGCUGGACUCGAUCAAAGAGCAGUAUCUGGGAUCGAAGAAGCCGAAGAAGCGGGUUAUUAAGCCAAGCGAGAAGUUUCGGUUCUCUUUCGACUGGGAAAACACUGAGGACACUUCUAGGGACAUGAAUUCCCUGUACCAGAACCCUCACGAGGCUCAGCUUUUGUUUGGACGAGGGUUUCGUGCCGGCAUGGACCGCCGGGAGCAGAAGAAGCUCGCGGCGAAGAACGAGAAGGACCUCAGAGAGGAAAUUCGCCGGAAGGAGGGGAUUGAAGAGGGGCCUGAGGAAGCCGCUGCUCAGAAGCUUAAGGAAGAGGCUGCUGAUCUCUAUGACACGUUUGACAUGAGGGUUGACCGCCAUUGGAGCGAGAAGAAGCUUGAAGAGAUGACGGAGAGAGAUUGGAGGAUUUUCCGUGAGGACUUCAAUAUUUCCUACAAGGGUUCAAGGAUUCCUCGCCCUAUGAGGAGCUGGGCUGAGAGUAAAUUGAGUUCUGAACUGCUAAAAGCCGUGGAGAGAGUUGGCUAUAAGAAACCGUCCCCAAUUCAGAUGGCGGCUAUUCCGCUUGGAUUGCAGCAGCGUGAUGUUAUUGGGGUUGCUGAGACUGGUUCCGGUAAGACUGCUGCUUUUGUUCUUCCUAUGCUGACCUAUAUCUCGAGGCUGCCUCCAAUGAGCGAAGAGAAUGAGGCGGAUGGGCCUUAUGCUGUGGUGAUGGCACCGACUCGUGAAUUGGCGCAGCAGAUUGAAGAGGAGACUCUUAAAUUUGCACAUUUCUUGGGCAUCAAAGUGGUGUCCAUUGUUGGUGGGCAGUCGAUUGAGGAGCAGGGGUUCAAGAUUAGGCAGGGGUGUGAGGUGGUGAUCGCCACUCCGGGGCGUUUGAUUGAUUGCUUGGAGAGGCGUUAUGCGGUUUUAAACCAGUGCAAUUAUGUGGUUCUUGAUGAGGCUGAUCGUAUGAUCGAUAUGGGGUUUGAGCCUCAGGUCGUUGGUGUCCUGGAUGCCAUGCCUUCGAGCAAUUUGAAGCCAGAAAACGAGGAUGAAGAGCUUGAUGAUAAGAAGAUUUACAGAACAACUUACAUGUUCAGUGCCACCAUGCCUCCUGCUGUGGAGAGGCUUGCUAGGAAAUACUUGAGAAAUCCUGUUGUGGUCACCAUUGGUACUGCUGGGAAAACAACGGAUUUGAUCACCCAGAAUGUGAUUAUGACCAAGGAGUCUGAGAAAUUCACUAGAUUGCAGAGAUUGCUUGAUGAGCUUGGCGACAAGACUGCCAUUGUGUUUGUUAAUACUAAGAAGAAUGCAGACUAUGUGGCCAAGAGUUUGGACAAGGCAGGGUAUCGUGUGACGACUUUGCACGGCGGGAAAUCGCAGGAGCAGAGGGAGAUCAGCCUUGAAGGUUUUCGAACCAAGAGAUACAAUGUCCUUGUUGCUACUGAUGUUGCAGGGCGUGGUAUUGACAUACCUGAUGUGGCUUAUGUCAUCAACUACGAUAUGCCAGGGAAUAUCGAAAUGUACACUCAUCGUAUAGGACGUACGGGUCGUGCAGGGAAGACGGGGGUUGCCACAACUUUCUUGACGAUGCAUGAUACCGAUGUGUUUUAUGAUCUCAAGCAAAUGCUCAUCCAGAGUAACAGUCCUGUGCCGCAUGAACUGGCAAAACAUGAGGCUUCGAAGUUUAAGCCAGGAUCAAUUCCAGAUAGACCACCUAGACGACAUGACACUGUUUUUACUCAUUGAGAAAUGGAUAUUGGGUGUGAUAUUGACAUUUUGGUGAUGUCAUCAUAAGGCUGAAGCCCAUGAGAUGAGCUAAAUUAGAAGCGUAUUGUAUUGAGAGUGAGGGGGAGAAAAAAAAAAAAGCCUCAUUGUUCUGUGUAGAGUUGCUCGAGUCUGGUAGUCUUCAUCACUUGUCUAUGUCCUGUAACCAGGGUGGGGGAAAAAAAUGAGCAUGAAACAGCAGCUUGAAAAUUUUUCUGCGUAUUGGAGUUCGAUUUAAAUUCAAUUGGCAGUGAACAUAACAGAAAAGAGGGAUUACAAUGUCAAUGCCUUGUUAGGUGGUGGUGUCGGCUUUUUUUUUUAAUAUAUAUUUAUAUAUAUAAAUUUUCCAAAGGACAAUGAUGCUUUAUUUAGGAGAUUUUUGUUUGAAGGGUUC
Molecule: RNA transcript, 2838 nt
Organism: Morus notabilis
Lineage: Eukaryota; Viridiplantae; Streptophyta; Magnoliopsida; Rosales; Moraceae
Gene name: DEAD-box ATP-dependent RNA helicase 21
Exons: 3
Source: RefSeq, a predicted model, not a curated record